This 250-nucleotide ribosomal RNA is filed under the name uncultured bacterium. Its description in RNAcentral is "partial 16S ribosomal RNA". It matches the Rfam family "Bacterial small subunit ribosomal RNA", at positions 524 to 773 of the family's 1533-position model. The record is from RNAcentral.
UACGUAGGGUGCAAGCGUUAAUCGGAAUUACUGGGCGUAAAGCGUGCGCAGGCGGUUUUGUAAGACAGAGGUGAAAUCCCCGGGCUCAACCUGGGAACUGCCUUUGUGACUGCAAGGCUUGAGUGCGGCAGAGGGGGAUGGAAUUCCGCGUGUAGCAGUGAAAUGCGUAGAUAUGCGGAGGAACACCGAUGGCGAAGGCAAUCCCCUGGGCCUGCACUGACGCUCAUGCACGAAAGCGUGGGGAGCAAAC